CUGCGACCCCAGGUCAGGCGGGACCACCCGCUGAGUUUAAGCAUAUCAAUAAG
RNAcentral lists this ribosomal RNA (53 nucleotides) under Senega balduinii. RNAcentral's name for it is "Polygala balduinii partial 26S ribosomal RNA". The record is from RNAcentral. Lineage: Eukaryota; Viridiplantae; Streptophyta; Magnoliopsida; Fabales; Polygalaceae.